AGAAUAUUUAAUAACAUGACAUGAUGACGGAGAUGACAAGACUACAUAAAAUAGAACUAGAAUUUUAGACAGUUUGAUGGAAAACUUCUACAUUAGGAAGUAACAAGGAAUCAAGAUGGUUCAGAAGCUGAAGGGAAUGGGAUGUGGAGAGAGACUUAUUUGUUUCACACUUUUUAUCUGCCUAGCAGUCGC
Long non-coding RNA from Eurytemora carolleeae, 192 nucleotides. RefSeq lists it as uncharacterized. The record is from RefSeq and is a predicted model, not a curated record. The transcript is spliced from 3 exons. NCBI's taxonomy places the organism in Eukaryota, Metazoa, Arthropoda, Copepoda, Calanoida, Temoridae.